GACGAACGCUGGCGGCGUGCCUAAUACAUGCAAGUAGAACGCCCAGUUUAUACCGUAGCUUGCUACACCAUGGACUGUGGUUUGCGAACGGGUGGGUAACGCGUAGGUAACCUGCCUGGUAGCGGGGGAUACCUAUUGGAAACGAUAACUAAUACCGCAUAAUAUUGGUUAUUCCUUGGAAAUUGAUUUAAAGAUGCUAUUGAUUCCCUACUAGAUGGACCUGAGUUGUAUUAGCUAGUAGGGUAGGUAACGGUUCACCUAGGGGAAGAUACAUAACCGACCUGAGAGGGAGAGCGGCCACACUGGGACUGAGACACGGCCCAGACUCCUACGGGAGGGAGCAGUAGGGAAUCUUUGGCAAUGGACGAAAGGCUGACCGAGCAACGCCGCGUGAGUGAAGAAGGGUUUCGGAUCGUAAAGCUCUGUUGUAAGAGAAGAACGGGUGUGAGAGUGGAAAGUUCACACUGUGACGGUAUCUUACCAGAAAGGGACGGCUAACUACGUG
Molecule: ribosomal RNA, 505 nt
Filed under: uncultured bacterium
Lineage: Bacteria
Description: partial 16S ribosomal RNA
Rfam family: Bacterial small subunit ribosomal RNA
Source: RNAcentral